RNAcentral lists this ribosomal RNA (501 nucleotides) under uncultured Glomeromycotina. RNAcentral's name for it is "partial small subunit ribosomal RNA". It matches the Rfam family "Eukaryotic small subunit ribosomal RNA", at positions 591 to 1092 of the family's 1831-position model. Lineage: Eukaryota; Fungi; Glomeromycota. The record is from RNAcentral.
CCGAUAGCGUAUAUUAAAGUUGUUGCAGUUAAAAAGCUCGUAGUUGAAUUUCGGGAUCAAUAUUUCGGUCAUGCCGUUGGUAUGCACUGUUAUCAUUGAUUUCUCACCUUCUAAAGAACCGUAAUGCCAUUAAUUUGGUGUUACGGGGAAUUAGGACUGUUACCUUGAAAAAAUUAGAGUGUUUAAAGCAGGCUCACGCUUGAAUACAUUAGCAUGGAAUAAUGAAAUAGGACAUCCGAUUCUAUUUUGUUGGUUUCUAGGAUCGAUGUAAUGAUUAAUAGGGAUAGUUGGGGGCAUUAGUAUUCAAUUGUCAGAGGUGAAAUUCUUGGAUUUAUUGAAGACUAACUACUGCGAAAGCAUUUGCCAAGGAUGUUUUCAUUAAUCAAGAACGAAAGUUAGGGGAUCGAAGACGAUCAGAUACCGUCGUAGUCUUAACCAUAAACUAUGCCGACUAGGGAUCGGAUGAUGUUAAUUUUUUAAUGACUCAUUCGGCGCCUUACG